AGAGACCGGCGCACGGGUGCGUAACGCGUAUGCAAUCUACCUUUUACAGGGGAAUAGCCCAGAGAAAUUUGGAUUAAUGCCCCAUAGUAUAGUUUUUUCGCAUGAAGAGAUUAUUAAAGUUCCAACGGUAAAAGAUGAGCAUGCGUCCCAUUAGCUAGAUGGUAAGGUAACGGCUUACCAUGGCGACGAUGGGUAGGGGUCCUGAGAGGGAGAUCCCCCACACUGGUACUGAGACACGGACCAGACUCCUACGGGAGGCAGCAGUGAGGAAUAUUGGUCAAUGGACGCAAGUCUGAACCAGCCAUGCCGCGUGCAGGAUGACGGUCCUAUGGAUUGUAAACUGCUUUUGUACGAGAAGAAACACUCCUUCGUGAAGGAGCUUGACGGUAUCGUAAGAAUAAGGAUCGGCUAACUCCGUGCCAGCAGCCGCGGUAAUACGGAGGGUGCAAGCGUUAAUCGGAAUUACUGGGCGUAAAGCGCACGCAGGCGGUUUGUUAAGUCAGAUGUGAAAUCCCCGCGCUUAACGUGGGA
This 531-nucleotide ribosomal RNA is filed under the name uncultured Flavobacterium sp. Its description in RNAcentral is "bacterial SSU rRNA". It matches the Rfam family "Bacterial small subunit ribosomal RNA", at positions 90 to 619 of the family's 1533-position model. Lineage: Bacteria; Pseudomonadati; Bacteroidota; Flavobacteriia; Flavobacteriales; Flavobacteriaceae. The record is from RNAcentral.